MicroRNA precursor from Callithrix jacchus (white-tufted-ear marmoset), 84 nucleotides. Lineage: Eukaryota; Metazoa; Chordata; Mammalia; Primates; Cebidae. The record is from Ensembl.
GCCUGCUUCUGUGUGAUAUGUUUGAUAUUGGGUUGUUUAAUUAGGAACCAACUAAAUGUCAAACAUAUUCUUACAGCAGCAGGU